GACGAACGCUGGCGGCGUGCUUAACACAUGCAAGUCGAACGGAAAGGCCCUGCUUUUGUGGGGUGCUCGAGUGGCGAACGGGUGAGUAACACGUGAGUAUCCUGCCCUUGACUUUGGGAUAACUUCAGGAAACUGGGGCUAAUACCGGAUAGGAGCUCCUGCUGCAUGGUGGGGGUUGGAAAGUUUCGGCGGUUGGGGAUGGACUCGCGGCUUAUCAGCUUGUUGGUGGGGUAGUGGCUUACCAAGGCUUUGACGGGUAGCCGGCCUGAGAGGGUGACCGGCCACAUUGGGACUGAGAUACGGCCCAGACUCCUACGGGAGGCAGCAGUGGGGAAUAUUGCACAAUGGGCGGAAGCCUGAUGCAGCAACACCGCGUGCGGGAUGACGGCCUUCGGGUUGUAAACCGCUUUCGCCUGUGACGAAGCGUGAGUGACGGUAAUGGGUAAAGAAGCACCGGCUAACUACGUG
RNAcentral lists this ribosomal RNA (468 nucleotides) under uncultured bacterium. RNAcentral's name for it is "partial 16S ribosomal RNA". It matches the Rfam family "Bacterial small subunit ribosomal RNA", at positions 28 to 507 of the family's 1533-position model. The record is from RNAcentral.